Molecule: transfer RNA, 69 nt
Filed under: Rattus norvegicus (Norway rat)
Lineage: Eukaryota; Metazoa; Chordata; Mammalia; Rodentia; Muridae
Rfam family: tRNA
About the family: Transfer RNA (tRNA) molecules are approximately 80 nucleotides in length. Their secondary structure includes four short double-helical elements and three loops (D, anti-codon, and T loops).
Source: Rfam by way of RNAcentral
GGGGAUUUAGCUCAAUGGUAGAGCGCUUGCCUAGGGAGCGCAAGGCCCUGGGUUCGGUCCCCAGCUCCG